GCAUAACGCGAAGAACCUUACCAAGGCUUGACAUGCAUCUCUAAGCGCGUGAAAGCGCGUGACCCUUCGGGGGAUUUGCACAGGUGCUGCAUGGCCGUCGUCAGCUCGUGUCGUGAGAUGUUGGGUUAAGUCCCGCAACGAGCGCAACCCUUGUGAACAGUUGCCAGCGGGUGAUGCCGGGAACUCUGUUCAGACUGCCCAGAUCAACUGGGAGGAAGGUGGGGACGACGUCAGGUCAGUAUGGCCCUUACGCCUUGGGCUGCACACGUACUACAAUGCCCAGCACAAUGAGAACCGAUGCCGCGAGGUGGAGGAAAUCUGAAAAACUGGGCCCAGUUCGGAUUGGAGGCUGCGACUCGCCUCCAUGAAGUUGGAAUCGCUAGUAAUGGCGCAUCAUCUACGGCGCCGUGAAUACGUUCCCGGGUCUUGUACACACCG
This 438-nucleotide ribosomal RNA is filed under the name uncultured bacterium. Its description in RNAcentral is "bacterial SSU rRNA". It matches the Rfam family "Bacterial small subunit ribosomal RNA", at positions 954 to 1392 of the family's 1533-position model. The record is from RNAcentral.